UACGUAGGGGGCAAGCGUUGUCCGGAUUUAUUGGGCGUAAAGAGCGUGUAGGCGGCUUUGCAAGUCCGUUGUGAAAACUCGAGGCUCAACCUCGAGACGCCGGUGGAAACUGCAAAGCUAGAGUCCGGAAGAGGAGAGUGGAAUUCCUGGUGUAGCGGUGAAAUGCGCAGAUAUCAGGAAGAACACCCGUGGCGAAGGCGGCUCUCUGGGACGGUACUGACGCUGAGACGCGAAAGCGUGGGGAUCGAACAGG
This 253-nucleotide ribosomal RNA is filed under the name uncultured bacterium. RNAcentral describes it as "partial 16S ribosomal RNA". It matches the Rfam family "Bacterial small subunit ribosomal RNA", at positions 524 to 776 of the family's 1533-position model. The record is from RNAcentral.